UCAUAACAAUGAAUUUAUUCGAAGUAAAUUAAACAUAAUACCAAUUUAUUAAUGAAUAUCAAACAAUACAAACUUAAUACAACUGCUUGCAUAUAAGCAAAACACAUUUCAGUGUUACUUUUGAAAAUAAAACAAUCAUGAACAAAAAACGGUAUCAAUCUCCACUGAAAGUGCUUCGUGCUGGUUCUAUUGUCACAUCACUCUUGAAUUACCUUCAACAAAGAUCCAGAUCUCUUCUUCUACACCAUCUUGUGAGAUGUAUCAUCCUUCAGCAAACAACGAUGAUGCAGAAAACUCAAGAACAAAUGAAGGCCAAGGACACGAAUCUGCAGAUAGAGUUAGGCCGAAAAACGAAAUCCAAAAAGACUUAUAGUAAAUUUUACAAUGAAACUACAAAAUGUCUAACCAUCCUUUUUAAAGCACACAACCAGAUCCAAAAAACCAGUAAAAAAUAUCAGAAUUAAACAAACAGAAAGAACUAUUUCAAACAUAUAUGCAUCACUAUAGCAAGGUUAUUCAACAGCAAGAACAUACAUAACAGAUGGGAGGAGAGAAAGGUGUAGAGCUCCCUUCAAUCCAAAGAAGGAUAAUACGACAAAGGCAGAUGAAGCUCCCCAGAUAUGGAAGCCACAAGACUACCACAAAACACGGUAAUGGGUAGAACUGUGGGAUCCAUAGCUAAGCAGCUCAAUCCACCCAGUAACAUCCUCGAUUGGACUUCAAGGAGCUCCACUCCAUAACCCCUUUUCUGUUCUUCCUUCAACCAUAACCCUAAAAAUUUUCCAACUUUAUUCAACCACCAAAAAUCAAAAUCAAGAUCAAGAACAUAAACAUAAACAUGACCAUGACCCCAAAGGAAGUAAAAAGCUGAUCUGAAACUCAAAUGGAUAAAGACCUGAGACCUGAAGGCAGGAAAACAAAGCACAGGCCUUUCUUUCUCUCUAGUUUUCUGAGAAAGAACAGCAAAACAAAAAGCUUAGAUCUGAGAUCUAGGAUCCUCCACAAGAUUAUUUGAGAGAAAAGAGUCAAUAUAUAUAUACAUGAAGUGGGUGGGCAUGAGAGAGAUACUCGAAAUGGAAAAGGCAGUGUUAAAUCUAGGCUGAACAACCCUAAUGGUAUUGAAAAAGGUUAUAAGGGUAAAGAGUCAAUAGAGAAGCCUUGACCAUAAUGAAAACCCUAUCUACUGAACCCUACUGGAAGCUACUCUCAUUGAGUUCCAUAAAUAAGGCAGAUGAAAGGGAACGCAUGCAAAUUUCACCAGCACAGCUCAGCUUUUUUAUCUUGAAAUCAUAAAAAAAUGUGUGGUAAAUGAAGAUAUGAUGGUAACGUGGUGGACCAGAUGCAGAGGUGCUAGCUGUUUUCUUUCUUUUGCUUUUGUUGGAUGCUUUAACGCCAUAUGUCUCGGGAAUCACCUUCCUUAGAUUCCCUCUGCAACCUCAUCACGUGCCCUUCUGCAAAACCCUCCCUCCAUUUCUACCCUAAUUUAUUACACUUUUUCACUCUUUCUCAUAC
RNAcentral lists this long non-coding RNA (1512 nucleotides) under Vigna radiata. Its description in RNAcentral is "long non-coding RNA (VRAD_LNC000227)". The record is from RNAcentral. Lineage: Eukaryota; Viridiplantae; Streptophyta; Magnoliopsida; Fabales; Fabaceae.